UCAGUCUCUCUCUUUCUUCUCUGGCCUCUCGCCCUCUCUUUCUUCUCUUCGUCAAUCUUCUCAGUUUUCUCUUCGUCAUUGAGAAUUCGAGAUCGUCAAGGAGACUGCCAAGGACUGGAAGGGUCGUCAGUCCUCUCAGUUUUCUCGUCGUCUCUGGUCUCCGCCGCCGCUCCGGUCAUCUAGGCCCUCAAAGAGCUAGAUCAUGACCGCAAGGCCACUUCUACAGAUCCAGAGCCUCUCUCUCAAGUACUCUCUAUCUCUAUAUCUGUAUAUCUAUAGAUCUUUUUACCUCUGUUUGAUUCUAAUUGAUAUUAAUAGUUUUGUAAUUCGUAAAAAUUGAGAUGAAGGUGUUCGUUGCAGAUCCAGCUUUACUGCUGAAGACAUCAAGCAGCUCCGGGAAUCUGGGGUUGUAAAGGUGCAGUCAAGAAAGAAAGCAGAGAUCUUUUUAGUACGAACAGAUGGAUUCUCUUGUACCCGAGAAAAAAAGAUAAUGACCAAGUCCAAGAAUUUCCUCAACAAUCUCAUCAAAACCUUCGGGUUCAGCUAAAGCAAAGGUAAAAAGCCAAACCUAGAUUCCAGUUUCUUCAAUUUCAACUUCAAGAUAUGAUCUUUUAAGAUUUUGCUCUGUUUUGUUUUUUUUGAUUGAUCAUAUGGCAAUAACGAAGAGGACUUAGAGAGAAUUGCUCAACAGGAAUAGGUUCUCCAGUUUACAAGGAGCUUUGGCAGAGAUUACAAGCAUCAGUUUUGAGACAGAAGAGGGAUGCUCUUUUUUGUUUUUGUUUUUGAUGUCUUUUGCUUGUGUGGGUGGUUAUUGGUUAAUGGGUUGCUCUUUUAUUUUAUUUGUUAUAUGGAAAAGGCUCCAAUGGCCUUGAUUCCUAAUUUCCUAGUUUCCGGAGUAAUUUUUGUAAGUAGAUGGACUUGAUUCUCUCGAGUCUACACCAAUGUGUUUGAUGCAUA
Long non-coding RNA from Rosa rugosa (rugosa rose), 957 nucleotides. RefSeq lists it as uncharacterized. Lineage: Eukaryota; Viridiplantae; Streptophyta; Magnoliopsida; Rosales; Rosaceae. The transcript has 4 exons. The record is from RefSeq and is a predicted model, not a curated record.